Molecule: ribosomal RNA, 253 nt
Filed under: uncultured bacterium
Lineage: Bacteria
Description: partial 16S ribosomal RNA
Rfam family: Bacterial small subunit ribosomal RNA
Source: RNAcentral
GACGGAGGGUGCGAGCGUUAAUCGGAAUUACUGGGCGUAAAGGGCGCGUAGGCGGUGGGUUACGUCUGCCGUGAAAUCCCCGGGCUCAACCUGGGAAUGGCGGUGGAAACGGGCUGACUGGAGUAUGGGAGAGGGUGAUGGAAUUCCAGGUGUAGCGGUGAAAUGCGUAGAGAUCUGGAGGAACACCAGUGGCGAAGGAGGUCACCUGGCCCAAUAAUGACGAUGAGGCGCGAAAGCGUGGGGAGCAAACAGG